This 253-nucleotide ribosomal RNA is filed under the name uncultured bacterium. RNAcentral describes it as "partial 16S ribosomal RNA". It matches the Rfam family "Bacterial small subunit ribosomal RNA", at positions 524 to 776 of the family's 1533-position model. The record is from RNAcentral.
UACGAAGGGGGCUAGCGUUGCUCGGAAUCACUGGGCGUAAAGCGCACGUAGGCGGAUCGUUAAGUCGGAGGUGAAAUCCUGGAGCUCAACUCCAGAACUGCCUUUGAUACUGGAGAGCUUGAGUCCGGAAGAGGUGAGUGGAACUCCGAGUGUAGAGGUGAAAUUCGUAGAUAUUCGGAAGAACACCAGUGGCGAAGGCGGCUCACUGGUCCGGUACUGACGCUGAUGUGCGAAAGCGUGGGGAGCAAACAGG